RNAcentral lists this small RNA (1571 nucleotides) under Arabidopsis thaliana (thale cress). RNAcentral describes it as "ATSL031740". The record is from RNAcentral. Lineage: Eukaryota; Viridiplantae; Streptophyta; Magnoliopsida; Brassicales; Brassicaceae.
UUUUUCUAAGAGUUAAAAAAUGCUUGUAAAGACUUUAUAAGAGUUUUAAAAAGAUUUACAAAGGUUUAAAAUCCUUGUAAAUCCUUUUAAAACUCUUUAAAAACUCUUGUAAAUCAUGUUUUACCCUUUUAUAAGCUUUGAAAAUCCUUGUAAAUCAUUCGAUACCACUUACUUAUCUUUUAAAAACGAUUGUAAACCAUGCAAACCUUUUUUAAAAUCCCUUGUAAAUCAUUCUUUAACACUUACUUAUGCUUUAAAAACGAUUGUAAAUCAUGUUAACCCCUUUUAAAAUCCCUUGUAAAUCAUUCUAUGCUACUUACUUAUGCUUUAAAAACGAUUGUAAAUCAUGUUUUACCUUUUUAUAAGCUUUUAAAAUCCAUUGUAAAUCAUUCCAAUACCACUUACUUAUACUUAAAAAACAUUGUAAACCAUGCUAACCCUUUUUAAAAAUCUUUGUAAAUCAUUCUAUGCCACUUACUUAUGGUUUAAAAACGAUUGUAAAUCAUGUUUUACCCUUUUAUAAGCUUUUAAAAUCCCUUGUAAAUCAUUCAAUGCCACUUACUUAUGCUAAAAAACGAUUGUAAACCAUGCUAACCCUUUUUAAAUUCCUUGUAAAUCAUUCUAUGCCACUUACUUAUGUUUUAAAACGAUUGUAAAUCAUGUUUUACCUUUUUAUAAGCUUUUAAAAUCCCUUAUAAAUCAUUCAAUGCCACUUACUUAUGCUUAAAAAACGAUUGUAAAUCUUGUAAAACUAUUGUAAAAAGUUUUAAAAUGAUUUACAAAUGUUUAAAAAGGGGUUUUAAAGUAUUUACCUAUGUUUUUAAAGACUUUAUAAAGAUUUUAAGAGGUUUUAAAAUGAUUUACAAGGGUUUUUACCAACUACUAAAGCUUUUAAAAAACUUUACAAGGUUUUUUAAAAGAGUUUUUAAAAAAUUUACAAGGAUUUUUAAAAGCAUUUUUGUGUCUAGGAAAAAAAAUUUACGAAAAAUAAUUUUGGUGGGAAACUUUUUUUUUGGCGGGGAAAAAAAUUUGGCGGAAAUUUUUUUUUGGCGCCAAAAAUUUGGCGGGAAACUUUCACUUUCCAAUUACAUGUUCUUAUUAGAUGAGGGUAAUUUGGUCAUUUUGUUAAAGGGAAAGGAUAUUUUUAAAAAUGAACAAUAUAAAAGGGUAUUGUUGCAAAAGGGUAGUAAAAAAGUGUAGUUUUGCAAAUCUCCCUAAACUAUUUGAGGUUAUUUUUUAUAUUUAUAUUCGUUCAGUUACAAUCAUAUUUUUUUGGUUUAUAGUUGUGUCUUUAUAGUAGUAUCUACUCAUUUAAGUUACGCUUUUUCAUUAUAUUUUAUUACAUAUUCUCGUCACAAGUUUUUGUAUGAAUACAUGUUUAUUUAAAUGUUCGUGACUUUUCAACUCUAUAUAUUUUUCUUUUUUUCUAAGUAGUUCCCAAAUUUUGUUUUUUCACACAAAUUAUUUGUUUCAUGAUAAAUCCCAAAAAAAUAAUCUCUAAAAUGGCUCAAAAUUCUUUUCUUGCUAAACUAUUUCUAAACAUAGGUGAUUUUUUUUGUCAUCAAACAUGA